RNAcentral lists this ribosomal RNA (2908 nucleotides) under Serratia marcescens. Its description in RNAcentral is "23S ribosomal RNA". It matches the Rfam family "Bacterial large subunit ribosomal RNA". The record is from RNAcentral. Lineage: Bacteria; Pseudomonadati; Pseudomonadota; Gammaproteobacteria; Enterobacterales; Yersiniaceae.
GGUUAAGUGACUAAGCGUACACGGUGGAUGCCUAGGCAGUCAGAGGCGAUGAAGGGCGUGCUAAUCUGCGAAAAGCGUCGGUAAGGUGAUAUGAACCGUUAUAACCGGCGAUACCCGAAUGGGGAAACCCAGUGUGUUUCGACACACUAUCAUGUCAUGAAUACAUAGUGGCAUGAGGCGAACCGGGGGAACUGAAACAUCUAAGUACCCCGAGGAAAAGAAAUCAACCGAGAUUCCCCCAGUAGCGGCGAGCGAACGGGGAGGAGCCCAGAACCUGAAUCGGCUUGUGUGUUAGUGGAAGCGUCUGGAAAGUCGCGCAGCAAAGGGUGAUAGCCCCGUACACUAAAAUGCACAGGUCGUGAGUUCGAUGAGUAGGGCGGGACACGUGACAUCCUGUCUGAAUAUGGGGGGACCAUCCUCCAAGGCUAAAUACUCCUGACUGACCGAUAGUGAACCAGUACCGUGAGGGAAAGGCGAAAAGAACCCCGGCGAGGGGAGUGAAAUAGAACCUGAAACCGUGUACGUACAAGCAGUGGGAGCACCUUCGUGGUGUGACUGCGUACCUUUUGUAUAAUGGGUCAGCGACUUAUAUUUUGUAGCAAGGUUAACCGUAUAGGGGAGCCGUAGGGAAACCGAGUCUUAACUGGGCGAAUAGUUGCAAGGUAUAGACCCGAAACCCGGUGAUCUAGCCAUGGGCAGGUUGAAGGUUGGGUAACACUAACUGGAGGACCGAACCGACUAAUGUUGAAAAAUUAGCGGAUGACUUGUGGCUGGGGGUGAAAGGCCAAUCAAACCGGGAGAUAGCUGGUUCUCCCCGAAAGCUAUUUAGGUAGCGCCUCGUGAACUCAUCUUCGGGGGUAGAGCACUGUUUCGGCUAGGGGGCCAUCCCGGCUUACCAAACCGAUGCAAACUCCGAAUACCGAAGAAUGUUAUCACGGGAGACACACGGCGGGUGCUAACGUCCGUCGUGAAGAGGGAAACAACCCAGACCGCCAGCUAAGGUCCCAAAGUCAUGGUUAAGUGGGAAACGAUGUGGGAAGGCAUAGACAGCCAGGAUGUUGGCUUAGAAGCAGCCAUCAUUUAAAGAAAGCGUAAUAGCUCACUGGUCGAGUCGGCCUGCGCGGAAGAUGUAACGGGGCUAAACCAUGCACCGAAGCUGCGGCAGCGACGCUUAGGCGUUGUUGGGUAGGGGAGCGUUCUGUAAGCCGUUGAAGGUGGCCUGUGAGGGUUGCUGGAGGUAUCAGAAGUGCGAAUGCUGACAUAAGUAACGAUAAAGCGGGUGAAAAGCCCGCUCGCCGGAAGACCAAGGGUUCCUGUCCAACGUUAAUCGGGGCAGGGUGAGUCGACCCCUAAGGCGAGGCUGAAAAGCGUAGUCGAUGGGAAACAGGUUAAUAUUCCUGUACUUGGUGUUACUGCGAAGGGGGGACGGAGAAGGCUAGGCUAGCCGGGCGACGGUUGUCCCGGUUUAAGCGUGUAGGGGGUGUGACCUGGUAAAUCCGGUUGCAUGCUAACCCUGAGGCGUGAUGACGAUGCACUACGGUGCAGAAGUAGUUGAUGCCCUGCUUCCAGGAAAAUCCUCUAAGCAUCAGGUAACAUUAAAUCGUACCCCAAACCGACACAGGUGGUCAGGUAGAGAAUACCAAGGCGCUUGAGAGAACUCGGGUGAAGGAACUAGGCAAAAUGGUGCCGUAACUUCGGGAGAAGGCACGCUGGCAUGUAGGUGAAGUCCCUUGCGGAUGGAGCUGAAGCCAGUCGAAGAUACCAGCUGGCUGCAACUGUUUAAUAAAAACACAGCACUGUGCAAACACGAAAGUGGACGUAUACGGUGUGACGCCUGCCCGGUGCUGGAAGGUUAAUUGAUGGGGUCAGCCGCAAGGCGAAGCUCUUGAUCGAAGCCCCAGUAAACGGCGGCCGUAACUAUAACGGUCCUAAGGUAGCGAAAUUCCUUGUCGGGUAAGUUCCGACCUGCACGAAUGGCGUAAUGAUGGCCAGGCUGUCUCCACCCGAGACUCAGUGAAAUUGAACUCGCUGUGAAGAUGCAGUGUACCCGCGGCAAGACGGAAAGACCCCGUGAACCUUUACUAUAGCUUGACACUGAACAUUGAGCCUUGAUGUGUAGGAUAGGUGGGAGGCUUUGAAGCGUGGACGCCAGUCUGCGUGGAGCCAUCCUUGAAAUACCACCCUUUAAUGUUUGAUGUUCUAACUCGGCCCCGUGAUCCGGGGUGAGGACAGUGUCUGGUGGGUAGUUUGACUGGGGCGGUCUCCUCCCAAAGAGUAACGGAGGAGCACGAAGGUUAGCUAAUCACGGUCGGACAUCGUGAGGUUAGUGCAAAGGCAUAAGCUAGCUUGACUGCGAGAGUGACGGCUCGAGCAGGUACGAAAGUAGGUCUUAGUGAUCCGGUGGUUCUGAAUGGAAGGGCCAUCGCUCAACGGAUAAAAGGUACUCCGGGGAUAACAGGCUGAUACCGCCCAAGAGUUCAUAUCGACGGCGGUGUUUGGCACCUCGAUGUCGGCUCAUCACAUCCUGGGGCUGAAGUAGGUCCCAAGGGUAUGGCUGUUCGCCAUUUAAAGUGGUACGCGAGCUGGGUUUAGAACGUCGUGAGACAGUUCGGUCCCUAUCUGCCGUGGGCGUUGGAAGAUUGAGAGGGGUUGCUCCUAGUACGAGAGGACCGGAGUGAACGCACCACUGGUGUUCGGGUUGUCAUGCCAAUGGCAUUGCCCGGUAGCUAAGUGCGGAAAAGAUAAGCGCUGAAAGCAUCUAAGCGCGAAACUUGCCUCAAGAUGAGUCUUCCCUGGGCCUUUAAGGCCCCUGAAGGAACGUUUAAGACUAAGACGUUGAUAGGCUGGGUGUGUAAGUGCAGCGAUGCAUUGAGCUAACCAGUACUAAUGAUCCGUGAGGCUUAACCUU